This is a long non-coding RNA of Ctenocephalides felis (cat flea), 814 nucleotides long. RefSeq lists it as uncharacterized. The transcript has 7 exons. NCBI's taxonomy places the organism in Eukaryota, Metazoa, Arthropoda, Insecta, Siphonaptera, Pulicidae. The record is from RefSeq and is a predicted model, not a curated record.
UAUAUAUAUAUAUAAAUUUUCAAUCAACUCUAACCUUGAAUAUCAUUCUCAGGUGAUGAUAUCGUCUUAUUGCUACAAGCCUGAAUGCUCCAGCUCGGAUAAAUUACUACAAGCAGUCGAACAAUUCUACUUAUAAUACAAAAGAUACAUGAACGAAGAUGCUGUAAAGGUCAAAACUUACUUGCUCCAGUUUAUAUAAAAAAGCAGGCCAAACAUUGGUGAUAUCGAGGAGAGCCUGGCGAGAAGGUUUGCUGAUCUCUACUCCAAAGAGUUUCACACAAAGGUGAUGAUAACGUCUUAUUGCUACAAGCCUGAAUGCUCCAGCUCGGAUAAAUUACUGCAAGCAGUUGAACAAUUCUACUUAUAAUACAAAAGAUACAUGAACGAAGAUGCUGUAAAGGUGAUGAUAUCGUCUUAUUGCUACAAGCCUGAAUGCUCCAGCUCGGAUAAAUUACUACAAGCAGUCGAACAAUUCUACUUAUAAUACAAAAGAUACAUGAACGGAGAUGCUGUAAAGGUGAUGAUAUCGUCUUAUUGCUACAAGCCUGAAUGCUCCAGCUCGGAUAAAUUACUACAAGCAGUCGAACAAUUCUACUUAUAAUACAAAAGAUACAUGAACGAAGAUGCUGUAAAGGUGAUGAUAUCGUCUUAUUGCUACAAGCCUGAAUGCUCCAGCUCGGAUAAAUUACUACAAGCAGUCGAACAAUUCUACUUAUAAUACAAAAGAUACAUGAACGAAGAUGCUGUAAAGGUCAAAACUUACUUGCUCCAGUUUAUAUAAAAAAGCAGGCCAAACAUUGGUGAUAUCGAGGAG